UGUCAGUCAUUCACAUUUAUUAAAAAUAGUCACUUUAUUAAAUAAUGUGAGAAACUCUAUAUUUUUUGCGAAUAGACCUGAAGAUGAAUUAUGAAAGGGUGUGACAAGUAUCAGUAAUGCAGGAAGACGCAGAGAUACAGCAAGAAGAAUAGUGAAAAGAGAAAGCUCCUAAAUAAGGAGCAAAUUAUUGUCAUGGGAAAAAUUCCGAUACAAUUCCGACAAUUUCCUGGUCUAAACACUCCUGUGUUUAGAGGAAAAGAAUUAAUUCAACAGCUGAAACUGCUUGUAAAUCUUGAAAGAAAGCAAAAACUUAUGGAAUUACCACAAAGUCAGACCAGACCAAUGCAAAUAAAAUUAUCGCCAUUGGAAUGUGGUUGGAGGAGUGUUACAAUGGAUGGCAGAAGCAUUGAAUCGGAUCUUAUUGGAAAAGAUACAUUUGAAAGUUUUGAAACCUGGAUUUUGGAAAACAAAAUGAUAACUUGUAUGACCCGUAAUUUAGCACGUAAGACUAGAAUCAAUUCAUUUAUAGUAACUGGGAAUGGAAAUGAAUUGGCUGGAUUUGCAUUAUUAAAAGCCAAAGCAUCCCUAAACGAUUAAAAAUAGGGCUGGUCAAAGAUUAAUGUAUAUUCCUACAUAUAAGGAAUACACUGUGUUACAUGAUUUCUUUACACAGUUUGAGAAUAUAAAAAUAUUUGUAAAGAAAAUUCAUGAAGGAUAAUGGGCUUGUUUGUCAUCAUGCGAUAAAAGCGUGUUGCGAGAUAAUUGGCAUAAAGGAUAUGUAUGCCAAAGUACAAGGAGGAAUGUAAAAGCAUUCUUUAUUGGUUUAUUGCAACAAUAAUUCUAUUGGAAAAAACGCAUCAGACAAAACUUUCCUGUACAUUUUAAAUGUGCCAAAAGAUUUGCUCUUUAUUCCACUUACUGCAAUAAUGUACACUAAAAAUGACAGCUCUAUAUUAAAAAUGAUAAAUCUAUGUUUAGUAGUUGGAAAGAAAGAGAGGAGAAAUGAAA
This 1008-nucleotide long non-coding RNA is filed under the name Camponotus floridanus (Florida carpenter ant). RNAcentral describes it as "uncharacterized LOC112639986". The record is from RNAcentral. Lineage: Eukaryota; Metazoa; Arthropoda; Insecta; Hymenoptera; Formicidae.